This is a long non-coding RNA of Myxocyprinus asiaticus (Chinese sucker), 1018 nucleotides long. RefSeq lists it as uncharacterized. The record is from RefSeq and is a predicted model, not a curated record. The transcript is spliced from 3 exons. Lineage: Eukaryota; Metazoa; Chordata; Actinopteri; Cypriniformes; Catostomidae.
AAACAGUUCUGUAUCUGUACCUGUCAUUUGCUUCAGGCAGCAUUCUAUGAAUGGAACACACAUGAGAUCAGUAAAAGAAGCUCUUAUCAUCCAAUGAUAAUUGAAAGAAUUCCACAGGAAUUACACCGCUAGCCAAACCUCGAGGAGCAUAACCAAAUUCUGGGGAUCCCAUGAUCACACUGUCUGUAACCAUGGGAACACAGCCACAGCAGGGGCUUGGAGAAUCUUUCUACUCACAGAUGGGCCAACAGGGAUCUCAAUGCUGAGGCAGAGAAAUACUGACCAUUUGGACAGCUGUGGCGCAGUGGUGAUUAAAGUAAUACUUCUGAGUCAAUAAUGAGAUACAUGAUUUCCCUCUGUGGCCAUUCUCUAAAUUUCCUGCAGCUAUUUUUGGACAUUGGUACACCAAAAUUGGACGUCCCACUGUAGUGCAAACAGAGACAGACUCUUUUCGAGCUUUUUCUAUCCUUGGCCAUUUGGGGCAUUUCCCUUAUUUCAUUGUUAUUGACUGUUAUACAAAAUAAGUAAAACAGAGCUACAUCAUCACAGUGCACCCAAAAAAUGUUGUUUUAAACCCAAUAAACCAUACGCAUUGUUUUUUUUUUUCUCUUUUUUUUUUCUGUGGAAUACAAAAGGAGAAAUUUUGAAGAAUAUUUACUAGUGGUCGACCGAUAUAUCUAUAUUAAUUGUUUCAUUAUCGCAUCAGCCAUUAAAUUUUCCUCUUUAGCCGAUUUGUUCUUGAGGGCGCUGAGAAUCGCCUGCUUGCAUGUGAAGCGACUGAGACCUGUAAACAACCAGUCAUGGUUUGUUUUGUUGUUACGUACCAUCGUGUUACUACAAUAAUAGACCGGUGUGCAACACAGUGUCAUUUAAACAGUCCGCAUAUCAGAGCCACGGCAGACGCGUCUGAGCUCAUAAUGUUAAAGUGCUCACCUGUUUCAUUCUCCCUGUCUCUUCUAAACAGUUCCCUGCAACUUUUAACAGUCUUGUCUAAUGAUAAAAAGGCAAAUAAAACUAA